AGCAGUCGCCGCGGUAAUACGAAGGGUGCAAGCGUUAAUCGGAAUUACUGGGCGUAAAGCGUGCGUAGGCGGUUUGUUAAGUCUGUUGUGAAAUCCCCGGGCUCAACCUGGGAAUGGCAAUGGAUACUGGCAAGCUAGAGUGUGUCAGAGGAUGGUGGAAUUCCCGGUGUAGCGGUGAAAUGCGUAGAGAUCGGGAGGAACAUCAGUGGCGAAGGCGGCCAUCUGGGACAACACUGACGCUGAGGCACGAAAGCGUGGGGAGCAAACAGGAUUAGAUACCCCUGUAGUCCCUGUCUCUUAUAC
RNAcentral lists this ribosomal RNA (303 nucleotides) under uncultured bacterium. RNAcentral's name for it is "partial 16S ribosomal RNA". It matches the Rfam family "Bacterial small subunit ribosomal RNA", at positions 507 to 807 of the family's 1533-position model. The record is from RNAcentral.